ACAAUCACAAAAUUGUGACAAAUAAAAAUACAUUUGAGUCAUGAAGUCGAAACAAGUUAGUGGCUCUGUAAUCUCCUUAAUAUCCACUGUUAUUGAACAGCUUCUCGUACUUGGAUAAUCAACUCCCGUUCAUUUUGUACUGGUGUACAGUAAUCCAUUGGCAAAUUCGUGAAAGGAGUUUCAAAAAUAACAGUGUCGAGAUUAGAAGAGAAAAGCAAAUACGAAAAAACGUGUGCGUUAAACAACUCCACUCAACAACAAACAGAACGGGUUGUAAAAUAGCAUGAGAAGACAAAGCUCUGCAUUACAGGUUGGUACUAGAUUAUUUGUUACUAAUAGAGGCUCUAAUAUAAUGUGAUUAUUUGAA
Molecule: long non-coding RNA, 367 nt
Organism: Dendroctonus ponderosae (mountain pine beetle)
Lineage: Eukaryota; Metazoa; Arthropoda; Insecta; Coleoptera; Curculionidae
Exons: 2
Source: RefSeq, a predicted model, not a curated record